RNAcentral lists this ribosomal RNA (568 nucleotides) under Stenotrophomonas sp. RNAcentral's name for it is "bacterial SSU rRNA". It matches the Rfam family "Bacterial small subunit ribosomal RNA", at positions 190 to 739 of the family's 1533-position model. Lineage: Bacteria; Pseudomonadati; Pseudomonadota; Gammaproteobacteria; Lysobacterales; Lysobacteraceae. The record is from RNAcentral.
CGACCUACGGGUGAAAGCAGGGGAUCUUCGGACCUUGCGCGAUUGAAUGAGCCGAUGUCGGAUUAGCUAGUUGGCGGGGUAAAGGCCCACCAAGGCGACGAUCCGUAGCUGGUCUGAGAGGAUGAUCAGCCACACUGGAACUGAGACACGGUCCAGACUCCUACGGGAGGCAGCAGUGGGGAAUAUUGGACAAUGGGCGCAAGCCUGAUCCAGCCAUACCGCGUGGGUGAAGAAGGCCUUCGGGUUGUAAAGCCCUUUUGUUGGGAAAGAAAUCCAGCCGGCUAAUACCCGGUUGGGAUGACGGUACCCAAAGAAUAAGCACCGGCUAACUUCGUGCCAGCAGCCGCGGUAAUACGAAGGGUGCAAGCGUUACUCGGAAUUACUGGGCGUAAAGCGUGCGUAGGUGGUCGUUUAAGUCCGUUGUGAAAGCCCUGGGCUCAACCUGGGAACUGCAGUGGAUACUGGGCGACUAGAGUGUGGUAGAGGGUAGCGGAAUUCCUGGUGUAGCAGUGAAAUGCGUAGAGAUCAGGAGGAACAUCCAUGGCGAAGGCAGCUACCUGGACCAACA